AGAGUUUGAUCAUGGCUCAGAAUGAACGCUGGCGGCGUGCUUAACACAUGCAAGUCGCACGAGAACGCUUCAGCUUGCUGAAGCUAGUAAAGUGGCGUACGGGUGAGUAACGCGUGGGUAAUCAACCUCUGAAUUGGGGAUAACAUUGCGAAAGCGAUGCUAAUACCGGAUAAUAUCCAUUGAACCUUGGUUUUUUGGAUCAAAGGUGGCCUCUACAUGUAAGCUACUGUUUGGAGACGAGCCCGCGUACCAUUAGCUUGUUGGUAGGGUAAUGGCCUACCAAGGCAACGAUGGUUAGCUGGUCUGAGAGGAUGAUCAGCCACACUGGAACUGACACACGGUCCAGACUCCUACGGGAGGCAGCAGUGAGGAAUUUUGCGCAAUGGGGGAAACCCUGACGCAGCAACGCCGCGUGAGUGAUGAAGGCUUUCGGGUCGUAAAGCUCUGUCAAGUGGGAAGAACCCGUGCCGCACAAAUAGUGCGGUGCGCUGACGGUACCACUGAAGGAAGCACCGGCUAACUCCGUGCCAGCAGCCGCGGUAAUACGGGGGGUGCAAGCGUUAUUCGGAAUCAUUGGGCGUAAAGAGCGCGUAGGCGGUCUUCUAUGUCAGGUGUGAAAGCCCUGGGCUCAACCCGGGAAGUGCACUUGAAACUGGGAGACUUGAGUAUGGGAGAGGGAAGUGGAAUUCCUGGUGUAGCGGUGAAAUGCGUAGAUAUCAGGAGGAACACCGGUGGCGAAGGCGACUUCCUGGACCAAUACUGACGCUGAGGGCGAAGGCGUGGGGAGCAAACAGGAUUAGAUACCCUAGUAGUCC
RNAcentral lists this ribosomal RNA (815 nucleotides) under uncultured bacterium. RNAcentral describes it as "bacterial SSU rRNA". It matches the Rfam family "Bacterial small subunit ribosomal RNA", at positions 8 to 796 of the family's 1533-position model. The record is from RNAcentral.